RNAcentral lists this ribosomal RNA (206 nucleotides) under uncultured bacterium. Its description in RNAcentral is "partial 16S ribosomal RNA". It matches the Rfam family "Bacterial small subunit ribosomal RNA", at positions 28 to 225 of the family's 1533-position model. The record is from RNAcentral.
GACGAACGCUGGCGGCGUGCUUAGCACAUGCAAGUGGAGCGACGAACCAGGCUUCGGCCUGGGGCAAAGCCGCGAACGGGUGAGUAACACGUGGGUAACCUGCCCCGAUGACCGGGACAACCCGAGGAAACGUCGGGCUAAUACCGGAUGUGGUCCCUUCACAUCAGUGAAGGUGACUAAAGGUAGCUUCGGCCUCCGCAUCGGGA